AAAUGGCCGCAGUAUUUUAACUGUGCAAAGGUAGCAUAAUCAUUAGUCUUUUAAUUGAAGGCUUGUAUGAAGGGUUGGACGAGAUAUUGACUGUUUCAUAAAAAUUGAAUUAGAAUUUUAUUUUUUAGUUAAAAAGCUAAAAUUUUUUUAAAAGACGAGAAGACCCUAUAGAUCUUUAUAUUUUUUAUAUUGUAAUUAUUUAGAUUAUUUAGGUUACUAUUAUAUAAAAUAUUUUGUUGGGGUGACAUUAAAAUUUAAUUAACUUUUAAUUAAUAUUUACAUUGAUUUAUGAAUUUUUGAUCCAUUAAUAAUGAUUAAAAAAUUAAGUUACCUUAGGGAUAACAGCGUAAUUUUUUUAGAGAGUUCAUAUCGAUAAAAAAGAUUGCGACCUCGAUGUUGGAUUAAGAUAUAAUUUUGGGUGCAGCAAUUCAGUUAUUAAGUC
RNAcentral lists this ribosomal RNA (442 nucleotides) under Thereva niveipennis. RNAcentral's name for it is "partial 16S ribosomal RNA". It matches the Rfam family "Bacterial large subunit ribosomal RNA", at positions 1925 to 2577 of the family's 2925-position model. The record is from RNAcentral. Lineage: Eukaryota; Metazoa; Arthropoda; Insecta; Diptera; Therevidae.